CUGCGUUGGAGGAUCCGAGCAGAUCUCAUCAUCAGUUGGGAUGGACGAUUGCCGAAGGUGAAGAUGUUUGAUGAUGGAUGACGGUUAUUUUCCACAUCUAUGGUUGUUUUUAACUGCCAAUCUCCAUGGUUUGAUUUAAGUAUGUGAGUCUUGCUGUUUUCUUUUGUAUGAUGAUGAUGACCACGAUUAUUCCCACAUUUUGUAUUCUUUUUAACUAGUUGAAUUCUUUUGCAAUAUUUGCCAGAAAUUCCUUUUUUUUAAUCAAGAAAAUAGAUCUUCGCUCCAUGUAAGCAUUCAAUAUGUUUUGUCAAGAUUAGUGGCAUUAAUUGUAGCUGUUACAAUACUUCAACUUAAUUCAGACGAGUACCUUGGUAUUGGGAUCCAACAUCUCAAGUAUUUAUGAAUGAACCAAUACUUUAUAACAAUUAACCAUUGAUUCUUUCUUUCACUCGACAAAGAGCAUAUGAACCAUUAAUCAUGUGAAAGCAACGUUCACACUCCUACCAUCUCUUUGCUCUCUCGCAUGUUCUGAUAUACACAUCCCGAAACAAACGUGAUCAAAGAAGAGAGAGAGACUGUGUUAGUAUCAAGGUGGUGCAGCUCAUUAUGGUUGAGCAAACUUUCACUAGAGAAAACAAACUUUUUACAUGAGGUCGAAACAAACACUUCACUUCACUUGGGAUUUGGGAGAUUCUCGAGAGCUUCGCUGGAGAAAUCUCUGCCGGGCUGAGGCACUUGCUCGUGUGGAAGACCCUUCACUGUUACUCUCUCCCCAUCUUUUUUCUCUUUGUUUUUCUUUAUUUCUUCUUCUUCUUCUUCUUCUUCUUCUUCUUGUCUUGUUUUCUCAGCUUCUCCUUUCUCCUUACUCUUCUUCUCCAUCUUUCUUACCACCCAAACAUUCAUGUCUUCUCUCUCUCUCAUACUUAUCAACUAAAACAAGGAUGAUGAAACAAACAGAUUAUGCCACGUUUCAGCUGGGUGGCACAACGUGUUGCCGCUUCACAUUUCACACGUACUAGUGGAUUUGAAAGCAUUCACACGUGUUGUAUUGUAGGUCAACCCUUUGACCAUGAGGGCAUUAGGUACUGAGAACAUUAGGUGAAAGCUUUGGUCCACAAGGCCUUUAACAAAGUGAGCUUUGAUCAUCAGUCAUGUGCCAGUUAACAUCUGAAAAGAAGAAUCUAUAUGAACUACUCUAACGGUGAAUUGGUUUGUGCUAUAUCUCUG
RNAcentral lists this long non-coding RNA (1227 nucleotides) under Brassica napus (rape). Its description in RNAcentral is "long non-coding RNA (BNAP_LNC002328)". The record is from RNAcentral. Lineage: Eukaryota; Viridiplantae; Streptophyta; Magnoliopsida; Brassicales; Brassicaceae.